Molecule: ribosomal RNA, 253 nt
Filed under: uncultured bacterium
Lineage: Bacteria
Description: partial 16S ribosomal RNA
Rfam family: Bacterial small subunit ribosomal RNA
Source: RNAcentral
UACGUAGGGUGCGAGCGUUAAUCGGAAUUACUGGGCGUAAAGCGUGCGCAGGCGGGCUUUUAAGCCAGACGUGAAAUCCCCGGGCUUAACCUGGGAAUGGCGUUUGGGACUGGGAGUCUGGAGUGCGGCAGAGGAGACUGGAAUUCCUGGUGUAGCAGUGAAAUGCGUAGAGAUCAUGAGGAAGACCAGUGGCGAAGGCGGGUCUCUGGACAGUUCCUGACACUGAGGCACGAAGGCCAGGGGAGCAAACGGG